GACCGCGUAGCUCAGUUGGAAGAGCAUUGGGCUAGUAUUCCAAAGGUCGUAGGUUCAAAUCCUACCGUGGCCG
RNAcentral lists this transfer RNA (73 nucleotides) under Paramuricea clavata. It matches the Rfam family "tRNA". From Rfam's summary of the family: Transfer RNA (tRNA) molecules are approximately 80 nucleotides in length. Their secondary structure includes four short double-helical elements and three loops (D, anti-codon, and T loops). Further hydrogen bonds mediate the characteristic L-shaped molecular structure. tRNAs have two regions of fundamental functional importance: the anti-codon, which is responsible for specific mRNA codon recognition, and the 3' end, to which the tRNAs corresponding amino acid is attached (by aminoacyl-tRNA synthetases). tRNAs cope with the degeneracy of the genetic code in two manners: having more than one tRNA (with a specific anti-codon) for a particular amino acid; and 'wobble' base-pairing, i.e. permitting non-standard base-pairing at the 3rd anti-codon position. Lineage: Eukaryota; Metazoa; Cnidaria; Anthozoa; Malacalcyonacea; Plexauridae. The record is from Rfam by way of RNAcentral.